CAAGCCGCGUGAGGGAAGAAGGUACAGCGUAUCGUAAACCUCUUUUGUCAGGGAACAAAGGCGGGGACUAGUCCCCGGAUGAGGGUACCUGAAGAAAAAGCAUCGGCUAACUCCGUGCCAGCAGCCGCGGUAAUACGGAGGAUGCGAGCGUUAUCCGGAUUUAUUGGGUUUAAAGGGUGCGCAGGCGGCCUGUUAAGUCAGCGGUAAAAGCCCGGGGCUCAACCCCGGCGAGCCGUUGAAACUGGCGGGCUGGAGUUGGAGAGAAGUACGCGGAAUGCGCGGUGUAGCGGUGAAAUGCUUAGAUAUCGCGCAGAACCCCGAUUGCGAAGGCAGCGUACCGGCUCCACACUGACGCUGAGGCACGAAAGCGUGGGUAUCGAACAGGAUUAGAUACCCUGGUAGUCCACGCAGUAAACGAUGAAUGCUUGCUGUCCGGGCAGAGAUAUGCCUGG
Molecule: ribosomal RNA, 452 nt
Filed under: uncultured bacterium
Lineage: Bacteria
Description: bacterial SSU rRNA
Rfam family: Bacterial small subunit ribosomal RNA
Source: RNAcentral